Hemicordylus capensis (graceful crag lizard) is the source of this 4169-nucleotide long non-coding RNA. RefSeq lists it as uncharacterized. The record is from RefSeq and is a predicted model, not a curated record. Lineage: Eukaryota; Metazoa; Chordata; Lepidosauria; Squamata; Cordylidae. The transcript is spliced from 3 exons.
GGAGAAGACUAAGCAAGAGCCCGCCCACCCCGCCCGCACUUUUUAACCAUCCCUUGAAAUAGUGUGUUGACUUUACCUUUCUUUUCCUAUAACCUUACCUUAAGACUAUUGAGUAUCCCUCUUUCUAAAGCUCCUCAAACCUCACUCCCCGCAAAACCCACCCUUGUUCCUUGGACAGGCAUUAGAACUGUGUGAUUCCACUUCUCUGGGUUUGAGGCCCAAAUGUCCAUACGGCAAGGUAACCAUGACGACAGAAAGGUGCACAUAACGCAGCAACGUUACCAACGGAUGCAGAGAGAGGCCCACAAUGCAACUCAACUCAUCUCCGACGAGACCCGAGAAUGAGCGGGUCUCGCUCGUCAACUUUUAUAUAGAGAUUUCUUGCUUUCUUUCUCUCUCUCUCUUUUUUAAAUAUUUUGUCAUUUUUUAAAAAUAGUAUAUAUAAUAUAUAUUUUUCUCUCUUAAGAAAUGUAAAAAUGUGGGUAAAGAAAGUAAAAAAGAAAAAAAACACACCAACCUUCUCGUAGCUCUGAGGGAUGUUAAGGGGGUUUGAUGCAGAACACAAUGACAUGAGGAGAAGAGAGAAAAUAGGGGAAACACAGAGAGAGUAAAAAAAGGCCUUCACAGCUGGCAGCUGCAAAUUGAUUUGCUUUCUCUUUUCCGUCUUUAACUUAAAAAAAAAAAAGCUUAAAAAGAAAUCUCAAAUCUCCCACUCUUUCCUGUCCAUCAGGGCUGCCCAGAGGUCGGCAUGGGCACCAUUUUGACAAGGCCAUGGCAGGGGAGGUGCCCCAAUAUCUUCACUGAUGUUGGUGCCACGGCCUGCCAGUGUCGCAGGAGGGGGGGCCCCUGCUUUGGGCCCCCCAAGGCCCAUGGCUCCCCUGAGCAGCCCUGUACCCCAAAUCCCAGCCUCCAAAAUAUCACGAUUUUGAGCCCCCCGUGGCUCAGGGAACAAGUUAGCAAAAUGUACAGCAUAGCACCCAAAACCAAGAGGACCAGGUUUCUUUCCCCUUUGGCAUCCUCACCGUUGUUCGGCUCCUCUGCCAUGAUCAAGGAAGAGAUCGCACCAGGUGCAACAAAAACCCUGAAACCAUGGGCAAGGCAUGUCAGCAUGGGGCUAGGGUGGGGGAGAAGCUUCCCGGGAUGUCAGAGAUGUGAAUUCCCAGAACCCACAAGUUGGUUCUCGCUGCAAAUUGACCUCUCGCAAGAAACAAGGUGAAGCUGGAAUAACUAGCACUGUCCCCUGCUCCCCUCCCCAGGGGAUGGUCACUCAGAAUCCAACCCCCUGGAACCUCCUCAGUUUUUGUAUGUCGUUUCUCAUACUUCCAGCGAAAUGACCAGACUGGCAACAUGGGCUAACACCCAUGCGGACAUGCCUUUAAAAAAACAAAACAAAACAAACCUUUCCAACUUCAGCUCCCAGCCUCCCCCUCCAAACUAACUCAAAAAUAGGAAAACAGAGACCAUCUCCUUCAAAUCUUAGCCUAUCUCCCAAAUUCUUUGUAGAGACACAAGCAUGUUACGAGAGAAACCAUUUGAAAUUCAGAAAACUGCAAGCAUGUUCAAGACUCUUUGGAAACAACAGGAGAAAGGAAAAGAAAUUACAAUGCACACAACCACCCCGCCUCCCAAACACACACGGACCCAAUAAUUCCUUUGAAAGACUCAAUUCCCUCUUCAUGGAUAUAAAGACAAAAGGAAAAUGGAAGUUAUUUAAGAUAGCAUGAAAAGACAGUUAGUUAGCCAGCCUCCAUGGCCCUUGAGAUGUUGACCACAUCUAGAACAGAGGUGUCCAUUUUGAACUCAACACAGAAGUCUUCAUAAACAACAUACACAUUGGUUUCAAGAGGGCCUGAGGUUUAGCUGGCUCCCAAAAGUUUGCAUAAGUAGCGUGUGCAAUUAGUUAUCUAUGGCUGGUGGUUUAGGAGCAGACAUCUGUCAGGUUGAUUUUAAAUGCGCUUCUCUGGGUAGUGUCAUGUAGGCGAUUCACACUAGCACUGAUUGUUCUAAUUCCAUGUAAUGCUUGUGUUGUGUCCCCAGGUCUGCUAUUGCACAGAGCAUAGUAGAACAACAUAAGCAUCCAUCUUUGCACAAGAAAAGAGGUCUCUUUAGCUCUCAAGCGGAGAAAAAGAAUAAAAUUCACUCAAGAAACCAACCACAUGGGAAAGAGGAACUAUGUGAAAGGGUCUUCUCGGGAAGAAUGAGCACUUUCAAAUUACAGCAGAAUUAAAAUUCUCAUCUACAUAAAACCGAUAUAAAGGAGGAGAACAACUCCAAAAGGGUCUUGGAUUGUGCAAACUCAGCCCAACACCCCAGGUUGCUGCAUUAGGCAGAAAUACCUAGAAGGCUUCUGCACAACACUGGCUAAUAGAUUCCAUAUUGCUGGUUGUCUACCCAGCAGUCCAGACAGACUUUACUAACAGAAGGAAAAUACAUUUUCUUUUUCUCCCGCCCCAAAGUUAAUUUUUAAUUCUUCAGUGUGGAGAAUAUUAAACAUUUAAAUGUUUUCUCUCCCUCGGCAUGUGAGACAGAGCGGGGAGGAUAGAGAGAUGGCAUUGCAACAUCAACAGGCGUACAAAAUAUAGCCGAAGAAGCAGCCCUCAAAUCAGCCUCGUGGUAAGCCAAAGAAGCCUCCAGAUCGGUCUCACAUAGAUCUGACUUGGCCAGUCAACGCUCUCAGAAAAGGGUUUCUCAGCCCAUUCGCCAGGCCAACAUUUUCUAUAGCCAUGGAGGUAAGAUGCCCGUUCCUAUUCCUUUUUCUCUGCUAAGUGUGGCAGCUUUUCCAACCAUGGAGAUGCAAAAGGCUUUGCCUGCUGGUACCAGCAGCUGUGAAAGGUGUGAAAGAGCCCGGCCAGCAAAAAGCAAAUGAUGGCACCUCUACAGUGUCACAACAGGCAACGGAUUUAAAGUUACCCCUCCAUUGUCCAAAUGACAAUGAAUUUCUUCUGGGGACUUCCUGGCCCACGUCAACAUUUUGAUUCAUAUGAUCGCUUUCAUGACGUAGAGAUGUGAGUGGAACUGAAAGAUCUGUGCCAUUACUUCACCCUCGUGCUUCCCCUACAACACACACCCCAUGCAGUUUUGGGGGAGUUUCAAUGGACCGAUCUCGUGCUUGGCAUGGAAAUAUCCUGAAUCUGUGUAUGAUCCACGUCCUUCAAUGAGGUUGUGGCUUAUGUUGUUCCUUUCCAAAUAGCGGGGGCAAAAGAUGGGGAAAUGAGGUCCCAUUUAGCAAGGGUGGAUCCUAAUCUCUUCUUCAGGACAAAUGCCAAUUAAUAGGGAUGUGGCAGAGCACCUACCCAAUCUCUCACCUCAAGGGGGACGCAGCUCCACGUCCCAGGCACCAUAUUGAAAACAGGAGGCCCUAAAUGCUCAGUUCUCACUUUGCUGUGGGACGGGAAGCUCCCAUGAUUAUACUGUAGUGAAAAACAUUCUUUACUCCAGGACAUCUGGGGGAAAUUUAGCUCUGGUCUUUUAGAAGGAAAAGGAGGACUAGGGUUGUGAACUGGUGCAGACCCAGGGACUGGAUUGUCGGGGAGACAGAACAGUCCCAAGUCCCUGAUGAUUAGGUCCCUGUCAAGCAAUGGUCUCUACAGACACAUCCACACGGCAAACAUAAAUCAGUUUUUAAAAAAAACACAACCUAGGUUAAGCAUGGAGGCUGCUCCUGAAAAAUUCCCACCAUGUGGUAAGAAUUCUGUUAGAUCUUAGAAUUCCCAGCAUUCCUUGGGGCGGGAUCCAUAAUGGCCUCUGCUUUAUUACCACAUCCAUGCUCUUUUUCUGAAUACCAAGUCAGUUUCAAAAAUAAACAUCACAGAGGAACAGUAGACUUCCCCCCCAUGGGGUUUGGAUCUGUUCUAUGGGGGGGAACUAGAAGUCCACUAUCCAAGCUGGGUGCAGGGUACACUUGACCAUGAACGUCAUCCCACUACCAUUAGAAAGGUAACUCUUAUUUCCAUAUUCUCAGUUGCAUUAGCCUAAUACUCAGUCAAGACUGCACCCCUUUGCUCAUUUCCUUCCAGUACUGAACAUUUCAGUUUGGUAAAAACAACAAUACGGCAGGGACCCAAAGGAGGAAGCCCGUCAAGGGCUAGAGGGCAGGGUGUGUGCGCAAAUAGGUCGAAUUGCCACUGUUGCAAGCCACGGCGCUCCCUACCUCUCACGUAUAGGUUAGC